GCGCCGGAGCGGAGUGGAGUCCAGUUAAAUUUUUUGGAGCUGGUCCAAGCUGGCUCCGCGGAGCGGAGCAUUGCCGAACAGUGCCUAAGUUAGUCUGGCUCCGGAGGUGGUUCGUUCUUACAGUCCGAGAUCCAUUGCAUGGUGACAGUGAGUUGAAGAGUGUUUUGCUUGCUUGAUAUCCAUUGCGUUUUUUUUGAGUCUGUGACAUCCAUUGCAUGGUGACAGUGGGUUAGAAGAAUGUCUUGCUUGAUGAGAUAUAAGACGCUGGCUUCGUUC
Molecule: long non-coding RNA, 276 nt
Filed under: Hordeum vulgare
Lineage: Eukaryota; Viridiplantae; Streptophyta; Magnoliopsida; Poales; Poaceae
Description: long non-coding RNA (HVUL_LNC006081)
Source: RNAcentral